GACGAACGCUGGCGGCGUGCUUAACCCAUGCAAGUCGCACGGAAAGGGCCUGCAUUCGUGGGGUGCUUGAGUGGCGAACGGGUGCGUACCACGCCAGUAACCUGCUCUUGUCUUUGGGUUACCUUCAGGUAACUGGGGCCUAUACCGGCUAGGCGCUCCCGCUGCACGGCGGGGGUUGGACAGCUUCGGCGGUUGGGGAUGGACUCGCGGCUUAUCAGCUUGUUGGUGGGGUAGUGUCUUACCAAGGCUUUGCCGGGUAGCCGGCCGGAGAGGGUGACCGGCCAGAGUGUGACUAAGGUACGGCCCGGACUCCUACGAGGGGCAGCAGUGAGGGAUGGUGCACAGGGGGCUGAAGCCGGAUGCAGCGACGCCGCGGGCGGGAUGGCGGCCUGCUGUUUGUAAACCGCUUUCGCCUGUGACGAACCUUAAUUUACGUUAAUGGGUAAAGAAGCACCGGCUAACUACGUG
This 468-nucleotide ribosomal RNA is filed under the name uncultured bacterium. RNAcentral describes it as "partial 16S ribosomal RNA". It matches the Rfam family "Bacterial small subunit ribosomal RNA", at positions 28 to 507 of the family's 1533-position model. The record is from RNAcentral.